CACGGAGACUAUUCCGGGAAGAAGAGGGGUACUUGGUGGGCGGGGUAAUUUCGGGCAGUCAGGUGGGCGACCCGCGUAGGCGUCUGAAAGGCCCGCGUCGUUAGGGAGGGCAGGAGCGGCGUCUCUGGUUACUGGAUCGGGCAAAGGGCAGAGGUCAGAGUCCAGGUUGGACAGCAGCACCUUUGAGCGAUGGCGGCGUCUGGGGAACCCCGGAAGCAGUGGCAGGAGGAGGUGGCGGCGGUGGUAGUGGUGGGCUCCUGCAUGACCGACCUAGUCAGUCUUACUCCUCGUUUGCCAAAACCUGGAGAAACCAUCCAUGGACAUAAGUUUUUUAUUGGCUUUGGAGGGAAAGGUGCCAACCAGUGUGUCCAAGCUGCUCGGCUUGGAGCAAAGACAUCCAUGGUGUGUAAGGUUGGCAAAGAUUCUUUUGGCAAUGAUUAUAUAGAAAACUUAAAACAGAAUGAUAUUUCUACAGAAUUUACAUAUCAGACUAAAGAUGCUGCUACAGGAACUGCUUCUAUAAUUGUCAAUAAUGAAGGCCAGAAUAUCAUCGUCAUAGUGGCUGGAGCAAAUUUACUUUUGAAUACGGAGGACCUGAGGGCAGCUGCCAAUAUCAUUAGCAGAGCCAAAGUCAUGGUCUGCCAGCUUGAAAUAACUCCAGCGACUUCUUUGGAAGCCCUAACAAUGGCCCGCAGGAGUGGAGUGAAAACAUUGUUCAAUCCAGCCCCUGCCAUUGCUGACCUGGAUCCCCGGUUCUACACUCUCUCGAAUGUGUUCUGCUGCAAUGAAAGUGAGGCUGAGAUUUUAACUGGCCUCACAGUGGGCAGUGCUGCAGAUGCUGGGGAGGCUGCAUUAGUGCUCUUGAAAAGGGGCUGCCAGGUGGUAAUCGUUACCUUAGGCGCUGAGGGAUGUGUGGUGCUGUCACAGACAGAACCUGAACCAAAGCACAUUCCCACGGAGAAAGUCAAGGCUGUGGAUACCACGGGUACCAGGUAGCAUAAACCAGGAGCUGUAUCACCCACCAUUAAGCAGAGUGGAUAUUGUCUUGGCUCUGUACAUUAGUAAAGCGGACACAUGUCUCACCAUGAUGCAACUCCAGCUUCUUUCUGCCAGGUGUAGACCUGGCUCAAGACCCAAGAGUGAAGCAGCAAGUGUGAAGAACCAGAAACAUUAUAAAUAACCAAGAGAAUCCUCUUAUAACAGCAACUGCCUACUGAUUUUGUGGCCUAACAGCUCAAGCAAAAACGAAUAUAAAUACAGUAUUGUGCAAUGACUAGUUACUCAAAAUUUUGUGCAUCAGCAGAAGUGGAACCUGUGGUUGGUGCUAAUAUUAUCAAAUGCCUUUGCUGUUUAAUAAUCUGGUAGCUGUAUAUUAUUUAGCAUGCAAUUUUCAUGGAGAACAAUGAUUUAAUUUCAAGUACGUCUCACUGAAAUGAAAAAACAGCUGUUAGAAGAUGAACAUUUCACAGAAAAUAUUUUAGUGAAUCUUUUGUAAGAUACUAAGUCCUGUUGGAUUAACUGUUUUCUGUCCAGAAUAAUAGAGUCACAAAGAAAACGGAUUGCUGACCACAAAAGGCAAGGCCAGUCUUUAGAACUCGUGAAUCACUAACAGACAUUUUAGUUUUAAUUGCCAUUUAUUCACCAAUAUAUAUAUACAAAGCUUUCAUUAAUACUGCCUGAAGAAUGGGCCCUUUUUAAUUCCAUUUUUAGCUCGCACUCAGGAUUCCACUUCUCUUUCAUUAAUGUGGAAUUCUUUAAAUUAUAGAAUAAAUUAAUCCACUGCAGACAUUUUGGGCAGAAUGGGGUUUUCAGCAACUGUUCAGCCUCCACAGGCCCUUCUUCUCAGCAGCUCAUCAGCCAGCAGAGCAGUGAGGGCCCCAUCUGGGAGCGGCACCUUUCCCUGAACUUGAAGAAAGUCUAGAGCAGCCCACUGGGCUCCUGGUCUGAACCCACUCUCAGGGUGACAGUGUCCUUCACAUGUUCCUCAGGCUGGCCAACCUCUGGCCAAGCAAGGGGUAUGCCAGUGGGUAAGCUACAUCACGAUAUGGCUGCUGGGCACAGCCAGUUUUCAGCCAAAGAACAUGAUGGUUGAGCUAUGUUAAUGUAGCCAUAUUGACUCAGGGACAAUUUUUACAUUAUUAUCAGAAAAACGUAAAAUGUUCUUUUUUAAAUUAUCAAGAAAUGUGAAAAAAACAAAGAACUUCAUCUUAUCUCCAGUUCCCAUUCCUGGGGUGAAGUGGGUGAUAGAUAAAGAUUAAAAAUGGAAGAGUUUUCAGAGAUGGCUGAAGAUUGCCUAUAGGGUGAGGCUCAGGCUUGGUCUGAGGGUGGAAUGAGGUCUAGAAAAGGGAAAGGAUCAGGCAUGUCUGUUCCGUAUAUUAUUUGGUAAUACAAGAGUGUAUAUCUACAUUUUCUACAUGGUAAUUUUGAUGCAAAUUUUAUCUUAAAACAGCUUCAUCAAAAUGCCCCACUUCAGUCCUAGCCUGAGUAGCCAGCCCAGAGCCCAUCACAAACUAACAAAGUUGAGAAUGGACCCUGAGACACGGUCAGGCCCCAGAUGGAGCCAGCCAGUGUCCUCUGUCAAUAUGAACGGAUCGCUGACUUGGAUUGGGAGCCAUUUGUCACCAGUAGUAGGGCCAGAUCUCUCCAUGGCACCAAAUGAGGUAGGUUGAGCACCACAACCAAGCACCUCAACCUGUGUGAAGGCCGAGAUGGCCAAGACACACUGUCUCAGGCAGGGGAUUUCUUUUGUCUUUGACUCAAUUUUAGAUGGAAUCCAAGUAAUGCAGUUAUGAUCAUCUGUACUCAUUCUUACAAAUGGUUACUAAAUACUUGCAGGGUACCAAUAAAAGAAGAAUAUGGCAGUCCUGGGAUGAA
Sapajus apella (tufted capuchin) is the source of this 2874-nucleotide RNA transcript. It is a transcript of the gene named ribokinase, with no coding region annotated. The record is from RefSeq and is a predicted model, not a curated record. Lineage: Eukaryota; Metazoa; Chordata; Mammalia; Primates; Cebidae. The transcript has 9 exons.